Galeopterus variegatus (Sunda flying lemur) is the source of this 587-nucleotide long non-coding RNA. RefSeq lists it as uncharacterized. The transcript is spliced from 2 exons. The record is from RefSeq and is a predicted model, not a curated record. NCBI's taxonomy places the organism in Eukaryota, Metazoa, Chordata, Mammalia, Dermoptera, Cynocephalidae.
GUUAUCAGCACCAUGCUCUAACCAAGUGAGCUAACUGGCCAGCCCAACUGAAUAUAGUUUAAUAAAGCCUUGUAAAGGUUUGGGGGUUUUUAGAAGAAUCAAUAAAUAACACCUGAAUGAAAAUACCAGAACCAUUGUAAGAAUCCCACUGCCAGCCCCUGCCCUGUGACCUCCCUCUCUCAGAAGUACCUUGUCCCCUCUCUCCCACAGCAAGCCUUCAAUGCCACGGCCGUGGUGCGACACAUGCGGAAGCUGCAGCUGGGUACCAGCCAGGAGGGGCAGGGACAGACGGCAAGCCACGGGGAGCUGCUGACACCAGCAGCUGGGGGGCCAGCGGCUGGCUGCUGCUGUCGAGACUGCUGCGUGGAGCCAGGCCCAGAACUGUCCCCCACACUGCCCCCCCAGCUCUAGAGCUCUGGAUCUAGGGUCAGGAUCCUCAGCAAGGAGGGGCUGGGGGCAGUCUGCUCGCUUUCCCUCCCUGAACUGGGGAGUUACCCUGCCCCAUCCCCUCCUCACUGCAUUUUCCAUACAAAUGUUUCUAUUUUAUUGUUCCUUCUUAUAAUAAAGAGAAGAAGAUAAAAACAUAA